RNAcentral lists this ribosomal RNA (227 nucleotides) under uncultured bacterium. RNAcentral describes it as "partial 16S rRNA". It matches the Rfam family "Bacterial small subunit ribosomal RNA", at positions 408 to 624 of the family's 1533-position model. The record is from RNAcentral.
AUGAAGGCCUUCGGGUUGUAAACUGCUUUUUGUACGGAACGAAAAGUCUUGGGUUAAUACCCUGGGAUCAUGACGGUACCCGUAGAAUAAGCACCGGCUAAAUAUCGUGCCAGCAGCCGCGGUAAUAAGUAGGGUGCAAGCGUUAAUCGGAAUACUGGGCGUAAAGCGUGCGUCAGGCGGUUAUUGUAAGACAGUGGUGAAAUCCCCGGGCUCAACCUGGGAACUGC